GCCGAUGUAGCUCAGUGGCAGAGCAACGCCAUGGUAAGGCGUAGGUCGUGGGUUCAAUUCCCACCAUCGGCUCCA
Molecule: transfer RNA, 75 nt
Filed under: bacterium
Lineage: Bacteria
Description: tRNA-Thr
Rfam family: tRNA
About the family: Transfer RNA (tRNA) molecules are approximately 80 nucleotides in length. Their secondary structure includes four short double-helical elements and three loops (D, anti-codon, and T loops). Further hydrogen bonds mediate the characteristic L-shaped molecular structure. tRNAs have two regions of fundamental functional importance: the anti-codon, which is responsible for specific mRNA codon recognition, and the 3' end, to which the tRNAs corresponding amino acid is attached (by aminoacyl-tRNA synthetases). tRNAs cope with the degeneracy of the genetic code in two manners: having more than one tRNA (with a specific anti-codon) for a particular amino acid; and 'wobble' base-pairing, i.e. permitting non-standard base-pairing at the 3rd anti-codon position.
Source: RNAcentral